GGCGUAAGGGCUCUCAGGCGGUUUCUUAGUCUGAUGUGAAAGCCCCCGGCUCCACCGGGGAGGGUCAUUGGAAACUGGGGAACUUGAGUGCAGAAGAGGAGAGAGGAAUUCCACGUGUAGCGGUGAAAUGCGUAGAGAUGUGGAGGAACACCAGUGGCGAAGGCGACUCUCUGGUCUGUAACUGACGCUGAGGAGCGAAAGCGUGGGGAGCGAACAGGAUUAGAUACCCUGGUAGUCCACGCCGUAAACGAUGAGUGCUAAGUGUUAGGGGGUUUCCGCCCCUUAGUGCUGCAGCUAACGCAUUAAGCACUCCGCCUGGGGAGUACGGUCGCAAGACUGAAACUCAAAGGAAUUGACGGGGGCCCGCACAAGCGGUGGAGCAUGUGGUUUAAUUCGAAGCAACGCGAAGAACCUUACCAGGUCUUGACAUCCUCUGACAAUCCUAGAGAUAGGACGUCCCCUUCGGGGGCAGAGUGACAGGUGGUGCAUGGUUGUCGUCAGCUCGUGUCGUGAGAUGUUGGGUUAAUUCCCGCAACGAGCGCAACCCUUGAUCUUAGUUGCCAGCAUUCAGUUGGGCACUCUAAGGUGACUGCCGGUGACAAACCGGAGGAAGGUGGGGAUGACGUCAAAUCAUCAUGCCCCUUAUGACCUGGGCUACACACGUGCUACAAUUGAACAAAACAAAGGGCACGAAACCCGCGAGGUUUAGCCAAUCCCACAAAAUCUGUUCUCAGUUCCGGAUCACAAUUCGUGCAACUCAAAUGGGUUG
Molecule: ribosomal RNA, 769 nt
Filed under: Bacillus nakamurai
Lineage: Bacteria; Bacillati; Bacillota; Bacilli; Caryophanales; Bacillaceae
Description: bacterial SSU rRNA
Rfam family: Bacterial small subunit ribosomal RNA
Source: RNAcentral